This is a Y RNA of Callithrix jacchus (white-tufted-ear marmoset), 101 nucleotides long. It matches the Rfam family "Y RNA". From Rfam's summary of the family: Y RNAs are components of the Ro ribonucleoprotein particle (Ro RNP), in association with Ro60 and La proteins. The Y RNAs and Ro60 and La proteins are well conserved, but the function of the Ro RNP is not known. The record is from Ensembl. NCBI's taxonomy places the organism in Eukaryota, Metazoa, Chordata, Mammalia, Primates, Cebidae.
GGUUAGUCCGCAUGCUGUAGUGUUUACAAUGAAUUGAUCACAACCAGUUACAGAUUUCUUGUCACAUCUCCACUCCCACUGCUCCAUGUGACUAGCCUUAA